This 75-nucleotide transfer RNA is filed under the name Xanthomonas phage XacN1. RNAcentral describes it as "tRNA-Gln". It matches the Rfam family "tRNA". From Rfam's summary of the family: Transfer RNA (tRNA) molecules are approximately 80 nucleotides in length. Lineage: Duplodnaviria; Heunggongvirae; Uroviricota; Caudoviricetes. The record is from RNAcentral.
AGGGGCGUAGUACAGCGGUUAGUGCGCUUGACUCUGACUCAUGAAACGGUGGUUCGAAUCCAUCCGCCCCUGCCA